RNAcentral lists this ribosomal RNA (409 nucleotides) under uncultured bacterium. Its description in RNAcentral is "bacterial SSU rRNA". It matches the Rfam family "Bacterial small subunit ribosomal RNA", at positions 330 to 756 of the family's 1533-position model. The record is from RNAcentral.
GCCAGACUCCUACGGGAGGCAGCAGUGGGGGAUAUUGCACAAUGGGGGGAACCCUGAUGCAGCGACGCCGCGUGAAGGAAGAAGUAUCUCGGUAUGUAAACUUCUAUCAGCAGGGAAGAAAAUGACGGUACCUGACUAAGAAGCCCCGGCUAACUACGUGCCAGCAGCCGCGGUAAUACGUAGGGGGCAAGCGUUAUCCGGAUUUACUGGGUGUAAAGGGAGCGUAGGCGGCAGUGCAAGUCAGAAGUGAAAGCCCGGGGCUCAACUCCGGGACUGCUUUUGAAACUGUGUUUCUUGAGUGCUGGAGAGGGAAUCGGAAUUCCGUGUGUAGCGGUGAAGUGCGUAGAUAUACGGAGGAGCACCAGUGGCGAGGGCGGAUUGCUGGGCUGUAAAUGACGCUGAGGGUCGA